Molecule: ribosomal RNA, 408 nt
Filed under: uncultured Methylomirabilota bacterium
Lineage: Bacteria; Methylomirabilota (SeqCode)
Description: bacterial SSU rRNA
Rfam family: Bacterial small subunit ribosomal RNA
Source: RNAcentral
CGUGGAGACAGGUGGUGCAUGGCUGUCGUCAGCUCGUGUCGUGAGAUGUUGGGUUAAGUCCCGCAACGAGCGCAACCCUCACCCCUAGUUGCCACCGGGUAAAGCCGAGCACUCGAGGGGAACUGCCAGCGUCAAGCUGGAGGAAGGCGGGGAUGACGUCAAGUCAUCAUGCCCCUUACGCCCUGGGCUACACACGUGCUACAAUGGCCGGUACAAAGGGACGCGAGACUGCAAGGUGGAGCUAAUCCCAAAAAACUGGUCUAAGUUCAGAUUGCAGUCUGCAACUCGACUGCAUGAAGGAGGAAUCGCUAGUAAUCGCGCAUCAGCACGGCGCGGUGAAUACGUUCCCGGGCCUUGUACACACCGCCCGUCACACCACGAAAGCUGUCUGUACUCGAAGUCGCUGAG